GGGUUGUGAGGUUAAGCGACUAAGCGUACACGGUGGAUGCCCUGGCAGUCAGAGGCGAUGAAGGACGUGCUAAUCUGCGAUAAGCGUCGGUAAGGUGAUAUGAACCGUUAUAACCGGCGAUUUCCGAAUGGGGAAACCCAGUGUGUUUCGACACACUAUCAUUAACUGAAUCCAUAGGUUAAUGAGGCGAACCGGGGGAACUGAAACAUCUAAGUACCCCGAGGAAAAGAAAUCAACCGAGAUUCCCCCAGUAGCGGCGAGCGAACGGGGAGCAGCCCAGAGCCUGAAUCAGUGUGUGUGUUAGUGGAAGCGUCUGGAAAGGCGUGCGAUACAGGGUGACAGCCCCGUACACAAAAAUGCACAUGCUGUGAGCUCGAUGAGUAGGGCGGGACACGUGGUAUCCUGUCUGAAUAUGGGGGGACCAUCCUCCAAGGCUAAAUACUCCUGACUGACCGAUAGUGAACCAGUACCGUGAGGGAAAGGCGAAAAGAACCCCGGCGAGGGGAGUGAAAAAGAACCUGAAACCGUGUACGUACAAGCAGUGGGAGCACGCUUAGGCGUGUGACUGCGUACCUUUUGUAUAAUGGGUCAGCGACUUAUAUUCUGUAGCAAGGUUAACCGAAUAGGGGAGCCGAAGGGAAACCGAGUCUUAACUGGGCGUUAAGUUGCAGGGUAUAGACCCGAAACCCGGUGAUCUAGCCAUGGGCAGGUUGAAGGUUGGGUAACACUAACUGGAGGACCGAACCGACUAAUGUUGAAAAAUUAGCGGAUGACUUGUGGCUGGGGGUGAAAGGCCAAUCAAACCGGGAGAUAGCUGGUUCUCCCCGAAAGCUAUUUAGGUAGCGCCUCGUGAAUUCAUCUCCGGGGGUAGAGCACUGUUUCGGCAAGGGGGUCAUCCCGACUUACCAACCCGAUGCAAACUGCGAAUACCGGAGAAUGUUAUCACGGGAGACACACGGCGGGUGCUAACGUCCGUCGUGAAGAGGGAAACAACCCAGACCGCCAGCUAAGGUCCCAAAGUCAUGGUUAAGUGGGAAACGAUGUGGGAAGGCCCAGACAGCCAGGAUGUUGGCUUAGAAGCAGCCAUCAUUUAAAGAAAGCGUAAUAGCUCACUGGUCGAGUCGGCCUGCGCGGAAGAUGUAACGGGGCUAAACCAUGCACCGAAGCUGCGGCAGCGACGCUGAUGCGUUGUUGGGUAGGGGAGCGUUCUGUAAGCCUGCGAAGGUGUGCUGUGAGGCAUGCUGGAGGUAUCAGAAGUGCGAAUGCUGACAUAAGUAACGAUAAAGCGGGUGAAAAGCCCGCUCGCCGGA
Molecule: ribosomal RNA, 1310 nt
Filed under: Escherichia coli
Lineage: Bacteria; Pseudomonadati; Pseudomonadota; Gammaproteobacteria; Enterobacterales; Enterobacteriaceae
Description: partial 23S ribosomal RNA
Rfam family: Bacterial large subunit ribosomal RNA
Source: RNAcentral